GCACUGCUGAGGAGUCCCACAAUUGGACGGAACGGCCGUCCAGUGC
Schistosoma rodhaini is the source of this 46-nucleotide non-coding RNA. Lineage: Eukaryota; Metazoa; Platyhelminthes; Trematoda; Strigeidida; Schistosomatidae. The record is from Rfam.